This 461-nucleotide ribosomal RNA is filed under the name uncultured bacterium. Its description in RNAcentral is "partial 16S ribosomal RNA". It matches the Rfam family "Bacterial small subunit ribosomal RNA", at positions 29 to 507 of the family's 1533-position model. The record is from RNAcentral.
ACGAACGCUGGCGGCGUGCUUCACACAUGCCAGUCGAACGGAAAGGCCCUUCGGGGUCCUCGAGUGGCGAACGGGUGAGUAACACGUGGGUGAUCUGCCCUGCACUUUGGGAUCAGCCUGGGAAACUGGGUCUAAUACCGAAUAGGACCACGCGCUUCAUGGUGUGUGGUGGAAAGCUUUUGCGGUGUGGGAUGGGCCCGCGGCCUAUCAGCUUGUUGGUGGGGUAAUGGCCUACCAAGGCGACGACGGGUAGCCGGCCUGAGAGGGUGACCGGCCACACUGGGACUGAGAUACGGCCCAGACUCCUACGGGAGGCAGCAGUGGGGAAUAUUGCACAAUGGGCGCAAGCCUGAUGCAGCGACGCCGCGUGAGGGAUGACGGCCUUCGGGUUGUAAACCUCUUUCACCAGGGACGAAGCGUAAGUGACGGUACCUGGAGAAGAAGCACCGGCCAACUACGUG